RNAcentral lists this ribosomal RNA (497 nucleotides) under uncultured bacterium. Its description in RNAcentral is "partial 16S ribosomal RNA". It matches the Rfam family "Bacterial small subunit ribosomal RNA", at positions 28 to 507 of the family's 1533-position model. The record is from RNAcentral.
GAUGAACGCUGGCGGCGUGCCUAAUACAUGCAAGUCGAGCGAACAGACGAGGAGCUUGCUCCUCUGACGUUAGCGGCGGACGGGUGAGUAACACGUGGAUAACCUACCUAUAAGACUGGGAUAACUUCGGGAAACCGGCGCUAAUACCGGAUAAUAUAUUGAACCGCAUGGUUCAAUAGUGAAAGACGGUUUUGCCGUCACUUAUAGAUGGAUCCGCGCCGCAUUAGCUAGUUGGUAAGGUAACGGCUUACCAAGGCAACGAUGCGUAGCCGACCUGAGAGGGUGAUCGGCCACACUGGAACUGAGACACGGUCCAGACUCCUACGGGAGGCAGCAGUAGGGAAUCUUCCGCAAUGGGCGAAAGCCUGACGGAGCAACGCCGCGUGAGUGAUGAAGGUCUUCGGAUCGUAAAACUCUGUUAUUAGGGAAGAACAAAUGUGUAAGUAACUAUGCACGUCUUGACGGUACCUAAUCAGAAAGCCACGGCUAACUACGUG